AUUUUAUGGAGAGUUUGAUCCUGGCUCAGGACGAACGCUGGCGGCGUGCCUAACACAUGCAAGUCGAACGGAGGUUUUCAGCAAUGGAGAUCUUAGUGGCGAACGGGUGAGUAACGCGUAA
Molecule: ribosomal RNA, 121 nt
Filed under: Propionispora vibrioides
Lineage: Bacteria; Bacillati; Bacillota; Negativicutes; Selenomonadales; Sporomusaceae
Description: 16S rRNA. Bacterial SSU
Rfam family: Bacterial small subunit ribosomal RNA
Source: RNAcentral